Molecule: ribosomal RNA, 530 nt
Filed under: uncultured bacterium
Lineage: Bacteria
Description: partial 16S ribosomal RNA
Rfam family: Bacterial small subunit ribosomal RNA
Source: RNAcentral
GACGAACGCUGGCGGCGUGCCUAAUACAUGCAAGUCGAACGAACUCUGGUAUUGAUUGGUGCUUGCAUCAUGAUUUACAUUUGAGUGAGUGGCGAACUGGUGAGUAACACGUGGGAAACCUGCCCAGAAGCGGGGGAUAACACCUGGAAACAGAUGCUAAUACCGCAUAACAACUUGGACCGCAUGGUCCGAGCUUGAAAGAUGGCUUCGGCUAUCACUUUUGGAUGGUCCCGCGGCGUAUUAGCUAGAUGGUGGGGUAACGGCUCACCAUGGCAAUGGUACGUAGCCGACCUGAGAGGGUAAUCGGCCACAUUGGGACUGAGACACGGCCCAAGCUCCUACGGGAGGCAGCAGUAGGGAAUCUUCCACAAUGGACGAAAGUCUGAUGGAGCAACGCCGCGUGAGUGAAGAAGGGUUUCGGCUCGUAAAACUCUGUUGUUAAAGAAGAACAUAUCUGAGAGUAACUGUUCAGGUAUUGACGGUAUUUAACCAGAAAGCCACGGCUAACUACGUGCCAGCAGCCGCGGUAA